RNAcentral lists this long non-coding RNA (1066 nucleotides) under Homo sapiens (human). RNAcentral's name for it is "long intergenic non-protein coding RNA 1206". The record is from RNAcentral. Lineage: Eukaryota; Metazoa; Chordata; Mammalia; Primates; Hominidae.
AAGAAUAAGAGGCUCUUUUAGAACGUUAAACCAGAUCCUUAUUGGUUUCAGCCCUCAACUGAUUAUUUUGUAGGUAAAAGAAAGCCUGAGGAGGCUUUCCCCUCUGAGUUUUUCCGUGGAUUGCUGGACUCUGAGGCCCUCAUUCCUCUUGCAGGAGGUGUGGAGCAAAACUGUGUUGAAUGAACUGUAGAUGGAAAUUCUCUCCUUCCCACCGAGGAGCCGCUGCAGGUUGCAGACUCCCAGAAUGCCACACUGAGAAGAGGAGGGCUAAAAUUCUAGAGCAGAAUCCCUGGGGCAGCCCCUGCUGAAGAAGGGUGCAUCUGUUGAGAAUCUCAUCACCGCCCCCACCCCGCCCAGCCUUCAAUUUAGAGGAAUUUCUAGUUCACGCAGAAUGAAGACAAGAUCACAUAAGUGAGGACGACGCCCCAUUUACAAGUGUGAUUUGGAAGACUGAAGUGGAAACCUUGGGAAGGGGCCUCAGAGUAUGUCAGCUGGGGUCAGACGGGAACAGGAGUCUGGCUCAACACACAUUUAUUGCACUCCUGUUUCAUGCCAAGAAAUGUACCAAAAUCUGGGACUGUGUAACACAGCAAAGGAAAAGACUCAUCUCCAGGAAGCCCCCUUGUCUAGGAAGAGAAAUUGAAUAUCAGCAUAAGGUGGUGAAAAGCUGUGAAGGAGAUGAGUGCCAGGAGUCCAUGGAGGAAGGAUUCUAGCCUGGACAGGUGAUUGUGGUGAAUAGUCAUGAGAAUCUGGGAACUGGCUCCUGCUCUGUCUAUCUUGGAGAUGCAUCUUUUGUGAGAAGCCAGGGCAAGAAUAGGGAGGCUUAGGCAAUGGGAAGUUUCUGAGUAGAUAAAGCAGAUGGCAGAGCAAAGGGACAGAGCCUGGCGAGAGGCUACUCCCUGUAGCAACCUGCCUAAGAGUGAGAGGAAAGCAAGGCAUGGCUAUGAGCACGUGUAGUCUCAGCUACUUGGGAAGCUGAGGCUGGGGGAUCACUUGAGCCCAGGAGUUCAAGACCAGCCUAGGCAACAUAGUGAGACCAUGUCUCUUUAAAAAAAAAAAAAAAAAG